Molecule: transfer RNA, 358 nt
Filed under: uncultured cyanobacterium
Lineage: Bacteria; Bacillati; Cyanobacteriota
Description: 16S-23S ribosomal RNA intergenic spacer
Rfam family: tRNA (bases 133-206)
Source: RNAcentral
AAGGGAGACCUAAUUCAGGUAUAAGACGAAAAAAAAGUAGUCCCUACCAAGAAUCAAUCCCAAAAGGUCGGAACGAGGUGUGAGGCUUUCAAACUAGGUUCUGGGUUCAUAAAAGACCUGAAUCAGGAACAAGGGCUAUUAGCUCAGGUGGUUAGAGCGCACCCCUGAUAAGGGUGAGGUCCCUGGUUCGAGUCCAGGAUGGCCCACCUGCACAGGUGGCAAAAACAAGAGAAGCGAGGAAUCAGCACCUUAUCUUAUAUACAUAUAUAAGAGAGAAUGCUGGCUCUGAGUACAGAGUCCAGAGGAACCUUGAAAACUGCAUAGAGCUAGGUGAAAAAGCCAAAAAAGAAGACCGCAA